ACACGACUACAUUAGAUACCCGUGUAGUCCUAGCCGUAAACGAUACUCGCUAGGUGUCGGCCACGGUGCGACCGUUGUCGGUGCCGUAGGGAAGCCGUGAAGCGAGCCACCUGGGAAGUACGGCCGCAAGGCUGAAACUUAAAGGAAUUGGCGGAGGAGCACAACAACGGGUGGAGCUUGCGGUUUAAUUGGAUUCAACGCCGGAAAUCUUACCGGGACCGACAGCAACAUGAAGGCCAAGCUGAAGACUUUGCCGGAUUAGCUG
Molecule: ribosomal RNA, 265 nt
Filed under: uncultured archaeon
Lineage: Archaea
Description: partial 16S ribosomal RNA
Rfam family: Archaeal small subunit ribosomal RNA
Source: RNAcentral